UAGAAGUGGUGCUAGACUUUGUAGCAUAGGAUCCUCUCGUGGUAGUGGUUCUGCCAUGCCUUCUCCUAGCCCUGGUCCUUCUUCUAGACCUAUAGGUUUUUUUACCCAAACAUCAUCUUCUAAGGGAAAGGAACCCUAUGAACCAUUACAGGAGCCUUUAGUAGAAGAGAUAGUCCCUAGCGAUUUAUCUUUUCAUCAUGAUAGACAAUCA
Molecule: long non-coding RNA, 211 nt
Filed under: Nicotiana benthamiana
Lineage: Eukaryota; Viridiplantae; Streptophyta; Magnoliopsida; Solanales; Solanaceae
Description: long non-coding RNA (NBEN_LNC041351)
Source: RNAcentral